AGCAGACUUCCCUCUACUGUGGUUUAUCCUCCCAGCUGUGGCCAUCUUCCUCAUGGUCCUCAUCAUUUCCAUUGGCCUUUGUUUUUGUUGCUUCAGAAAAAGAACCAGAAAACGUAUGCUGCGCCACCAUCUAGCUGCAUAUCCUGAAAACCUUGGCAUUUAUCAGGACAGGAUGCCUCUCUAUAUUAACUGCACUGAAGUGACUCAUAUUUACACAAACGGCAGCUAUCAAGUUGUGUACCAGAAUUCCACACCUUGUUUUGUUCAAACUAAGCAGGUUCGUCCAAUGGGCAGACGAGGAGGGGAGAGACGCAGAGGAGCAGAGCGUGGAGUGAGAGAAAGACAAUCCAAUUUACAAACCAGACAGAUAGUCCAGAAUACUGCAGUGGCUGAUGCUGAUACUGCCAUAUACUUGGAGAUACUCUGAACUGAACUAUGGCUGAAGCUCAUUUAUAAAUAGACUUUGGAACAGCUUAAAGGCUUGCCUGUCAGCAUUUUUUCAUGUUUAUUUCAUAUCCCUUUUUCUGUAUAAUGCCAACAUUGUUUUAAUAAAAUGAUGAAUGUAGGUUAAUUAAAAUCAUAUUACAAAAACAGCAAAUACUAAUAUUUCUAAUAAAUAUAAUUCUUGUUAAAA
Molecule: long non-coding RNA, 634 nt
Organism: Boleophthalmus pectinirostris (great blue-spotted mudskipper)
Lineage: Eukaryota; Metazoa; Chordata; Actinopteri; Gobiiformes; Gobiidae
Exons: 3
Source: RefSeq, a predicted model, not a curated record